This 465-nucleotide ribosomal RNA is filed under the name uncultured bacterium. RNAcentral describes it as "partial 16S ribosomal RNA". It matches the Rfam family "Bacterial small subunit ribosomal RNA", at positions 28 to 507 of the family's 1533-position model. The record is from RNAcentral.
GACGAACGCUGGCGGCGUGCUUAACACAUGCAAGUCGAACGGAAAGGCCCCUUUGGGGGUACUCGAGUGGCGAACGGGGGAGUAACACGUGAGUAACCUGCCCUUGUCUUCGGGAGAACUUCAGGAAACUGGGGCCAAUACCGGAUAGGAAUCCUUGCUGCAUGGGGGGGGGUGGGAAGCUUCGGCGGUUUUGGAUGGACUCGCGGCUUAUCAGCUUGUUGGUGGGGUAGUGGCUUACCAAGGCUUUGACGGGUAGCCGGCCUGAGAGGGCGACCGGCCACAUUGGGACUGAGAUACGGCCCAGACUCCUACGGGAGGCAGCAGUGGGGAAUAUUGCACAAUGGGCGGAAGCCUGAUGCAGCAACGCCGCGUGCGGGAUGACGGCCUUCGGGUUGUAAACCGCUUUCAGCAGGGGCGAAGCUUGUGGUGACGGUACCUGCAGAAGAAGCACCGGCUAACUACGUG